This 1075-nucleotide ribosomal RNA is filed under the name Salmonella enterica subsp. houtenae. Its description in RNAcentral is "partial 23S ribosomal RNA". It matches the Rfam family "Bacterial large subunit ribosomal RNA", at positions 176 to 1190 of the family's 2925-position model. Lineage: Bacteria; Pseudomonadati; Pseudomonadota; Gammaproteobacteria; Enterobacterales; Enterobacteriaceae. The record is from RNAcentral.
GAGGCGAACCGGGGGAACUGAAACAUCUAAGUACCCCGAGGAAAAGAAAUCAACCGAGAUUCCCCCAGUAGCGGCGAGCGAACGGGGAGGAGCCCAGAGCCUGAAUCAGCAUGUGUGUUAGUGGAAGCGUCUGGAAAGGCGCGCGAUACAGGGUGAGAGCCCCGUACACAAAAGCGCAUGUGCUGUGAGCUCGAUGAGUAGGGCGGGACACGUGGUAUCCUGUCUGAAUAUGGGGGGACCAUCCUCCAAGGCUAAAUACUCCUGACUGACCGAUAGUGAACCAGUACCGUGAGGGAAAGGCGAAAAGAACCCCGGCGAGGGGAGUGAAACAGAACCUGAAACCGUGUACGUACAAGCAGUGGGAGCCCCACCACUAAGCCAGUGGUGAACUCCACAUACGCAUCCUUUGCUGAGGAUACGGUUAACGGAGCGAAAGCGACGUUGAACCGCAAAAGAAGCAGAGGGGGCUUAGUGGUGGGGUGACUGCGUACCUUUUGUAUAAUGGGUCAGCGACUUAUAUUCUGUAGCAAGGUUAACCGCAUAGGGGAGCCGGAGGGAAACCGAGUCUUAAUUGGGCGUUAAGUUGCAGGGUAUAGACCCGAAACCCGGUGAUCUAGCCAUGGGCAGGUUGAAGGUUGGGUAACACUAACUGGAGGACCGAACCGACUAAUGUUGAAAAAUUAGCGGAUGACCUGUGGCUGGGGGUGAAAGGCCAAUCAAACCGGGAGAUAGCUGGUUCUCCCCGAAAGCUAUUUAGGUAGCGCCUCGUGAAUUCAUCUCCGGGGGUAGAGCACUGUUUCGGCCAGGGGGCCAUCCCGGCUUACCAAUCCGAUGCAAACUGCGAAUACCGGAGAAUGUUAUCACGGGAGACACACGGCGGGUGCUAACGUCCGUCGUGAAGAGGGAAACAACCCAGACCGCCAGCUAAGGUCCCAAAGUCAUGGUUAAGUGGGAAACGAUGUGGGAAGGCCCAGACAGCCAGGAUGUUGGCUUAGAAGCAGCCAUCAUUUAAAGAAAGCGUAAUAGCUCACUGGUCGAGUCGGCCUGCGCGGAAGAUGUAACGGGGCUAAACCAU